UUCAACACGGACACAAGGAGGAAUCGCUGCUCACCCGAGCAAACCAGAAAAGACCUCUUUCUUGCAAGAUCCACGAUUUAGCGCGAUUUCUUUCUUACCCUUGGCCAAGGUAGACUCCAGAGUCACACGAUCUUUAACUCAAUCGAGUUACAACCGGUUUUAUUCGUAUUAGACGUGAAGUCACGACUGCCGCCCAAGCAGUUUUAAUUCAAAGUUAUAGGAAAGCGGCUGGACCCUUUCUUUUUCUUAACUGAAGUGCUGUGCACAUUGUUUGACCAGAGUUUUUCUUCCCACGAGCCACGAAGCACCGGACCAAGAAUUUUCUGCUUUCCACAGACGUGCUCCACGAGCUCCUGUGAAACUCAGCCUCUCCGAGUAAUUCCCUGUGCUUCAUGGAGAUCUCCACAACGGUGUAAACUCCAAAAGUCUCGGGACAUCUUCUCAUAAUCUCGCGAAGAAGUGAAAUAUGGAAAAUUCUAAAGGUGCAUACGAGUUAUGUAAUAUGCAUGGGAAACAACUGAUCAAGAAGAAAGGGGAGAAUGAGCAUGGGAGCCACACAGGUGUGAAGGACAAAGAUGGAGGGAGGCCGAGCAGCAAAGGGCAGCAGGCCACACUUGAACCCAGGAGAAAGCAGAGAACACCAAGAUCAACAGCAGCUCUACAUUCUGUCUGAAUUAAAGAAGAGAGACAGGGCGAUCAUCAAUGAAUUGUUGUCCAACACUUUUGCUCAUAGAAGACAGGAUGUCAUCAGUCUUCAAAUGAGCAUCAAAGAGAUCAAGGAAAGGUCAAUGCUGAGUUUCAAUGAAUUACCACUGUAAAUCUUGAGGCCAAAUUCAUGUUCAUGUUGGACUACUACACCCCUAAACUGCUUGCCAUCUUCCAAGCCAAGAAAGGUGCUGCUGGAGAGAGACAUCAUGCAGAAAUGAAUGUUCUA
Neoarius graeffei (lesser salmon catfish) is the source of this 934-nucleotide long non-coding RNA. RefSeq lists it as uncharacterized. The record is from RefSeq and is a predicted model, not a curated record. The transcript is spliced from 6 exons. Lineage: Eukaryota; Metazoa; Chordata; Actinopteri; Siluriformes; Ariidae.